UUUCCGUAGGUGAACCUGCGGAAGGAUCAUUAACACGAAUUAUUUAUUAUCCAAUAUCAAAAACCAAACGUGAACUUUUCCCCUCCCUAUAUAUAUAUGUAUAUAUAUAUAUAGGCUAACCUCAUAUAAUUUUUAACACUUUAAACUUCAACUAGUUUUAAUGUAACCAUUAAAACAUCUAAACUAAAAAAGACAAGGUUAUUCGAAAGAGUAAACUUUAACUUUUUUCGAUCUACGAAAAAUUUAAAAGAACAACUCUUAACAAUGGAUAUCUUGGUUCUC
RNAcentral lists this unclassified non-coding RNA (282 nucleotides) under plant metagenome. Its description in RNAcentral is "partial contains small subunit ribosomal RNA, internal transcribed spacer 1, and 5.8S ribosomal RNA". The record is from RNAcentral.